CCACGCAGGAGGCCACGUGGGUGAUCCCCGUGCUUGGACGAUCCACGGUCCAAAUCGCAUCCUGCUCGCACGAACGAUCCAGAUUUAUUUUUUUUCAAACGUGAUCGGAAAAAUGAUAUUGAUCGUGAUGGACGGUCCUUAUUCGCACAUGCGAUCAACCUAAACAGGCAAUCGUCAGACAACUCUACUCACUCCACGUCGGCUCGAACAGGCGACCUGGAUCGAAUGAAGAUGAGUAUUUAAACUCCUCUUCGCAGAGAACCGAAACCCUGGCUGAUAGAGGAGUGACCGGAGAAGAAGAAAAAAGGGUGGUCGAGUAAAGAACUAGAUGCUGGAGAAGGAGACCGGCCACCGUUGUUGCCGCAUCGGAGCCACCCUCAACAUUGAAACAAGU
This 394-nucleotide long non-coding RNA is filed under the name Carica papaya (papaya). RNAcentral's name for it is "long non-coding RNA (CPAP_LNC006103)". The record is from RNAcentral. Lineage: Eukaryota; Viridiplantae; Streptophyta; Magnoliopsida; Brassicales; Caricaceae.